AUGACAUCACGCUGGUCAAGGAGGCGCAAAUUACGCAAAAUGGUUGAGGCAGCAGAGUCAGAUAUAAUCAGGCACUUUAAUGAGAUGGUUGCUGAAAAACAUAAACAAAAGAGCAAUGCACAAGUUGAAAAUAAGCGACCGCAGGUUGCAGAAGAGUCUGGUGUGUCCCACUGUUGUCACCCGGGUAUAGACAGUCCUGUAUUUCCCAGUCGCUCUGAGCACAUUUCAGAAGUAUGUGAGACCUAUGUGUCAACCGACAAGGAUAAUGACUAUGACUUCAGUUUUGACAGCUUUGGUUGCCAUGCACCACCGUUUGAUUCUGAUAUUAGUGAUGCUGAAGCUGAUGACGAAGCGCCCAAUAAUGAAUUCUUAAUAACAAGUUUAAGAUACUGGGCUUCUACAUUUUCAGUCUCGUUGGUGGCAGUAACAGCACUCUUGGGAAUUUUGCGUGUGUUUCACCCAGACCUACCAAAAGAUGCCAGGACAGUUCUCCGGACGCAAGGUCAAAUAAACACAAUAAAAAUGGAUGGUGGGGAAUACCAUCAUUUUGGUUUGGCUAAAGGGUUGGUCUCUCGACUAAAAUCCUUGAUCUUGCCUGCCAACUUGAACAACCUAAAAUUGCAGUUUAAUAUAGAUGGUUUACCCCUUUUCAAAAGCAGUAAACUUCAGUUCUGGCCAAUUCUUGCAAUUGCAAAUGUUGACUACACCAAAUCACCAUUCCUUGUUGGUCUCUACUGUGGUCUGGGUAAGCCAAAAAGUGUAGUUCAGUUCUUGGACCCAUUUGUGAAGGACCUCGGGCACAUUUUGAAGUAUGGCAUUAUCUACAAUAGCUGCCAGAUAACUGUUAAAGUAUGUUCAUUUGUGUGUGAUGCACCUGCAAGAGCUUUCAUUAAAAACAUAAAGGCUCAUAAUGGUUAUUCUGGUUGUGAUAAAUGUGUUCAAGUAGGUGAAUGGAAGAACAAAAUGACGUACCCUGAACUUAAUGCAAAGCUCAGAACGGAUUCAGAUUUUCAGUUGAUGACUGAUGAAGACCACCACUUGAAUCAAACAUUGUCUCCUUUAGCUGGUAGGGUUAAGAUGAUAACAAUGUUUCCCUUGGAUUAUAUGCAUCUAUGUUGUCUUGGAGUAACAAGAAAACUCAUAUACUUGUGGAUAAAGGGCAAAGUACUUGCAACAAGGCUGUCCAGUCGAACAGUAGUUGAAAUUUCAGAAAAGUUGAAAGCUCUGCGGCCUUAUACACCAAAUGAGUUUAACCGCAAGCCAAGGGAAUUGUCUGAAAUUGAUAGAUGGAAAGCAACAGAGUUGCGAAUGUUUAUGUUGUACACAGGGCCCAUAGUGCUUAGGAAUAGCAUUCCAGUUGAGUUCUAUGAUAACUUUAUGUUGUUUUCUGUAGCAAUGCAUCUGCUGUUAUCCCCUCUAUGUCUAAUGAAAUGGUUGAUUGUGCCAAUGAAUUCCUGGUGUCAUUUGUUUCUCACUUCGGCGAAUUGUAUGGUAAGGAUGAAAUUACAUACAAUGUACACCAGCUGA
RNAcentral lists this long non-coding RNA (1527 nucleotides) under Oreochromis niloticus (Nile tilapia). Its description in RNAcentral is "lncRNA (ENSONIG00000027543.1)". The record is from RNAcentral. Lineage: Eukaryota; Metazoa; Chordata; Actinopteri; Cichliformes; Cichlidae.